Molecule: ribosomal RNA, 23 nt
Filed under: Stewartia pteropetiolata
Lineage: Eukaryota; Viridiplantae; Streptophyta; Magnoliopsida; Ericales; Theaceae
Description: partial 28S ribosomal RNA
Source: RNAcentral
CCACGGUGCCCUGAUUGCGACCU